GAAGGUGGCCUGUGAGGGUUGCUGGAGGUAUCAGAAGUGCGAAUGCUGACAUAAGUAACGAUAAAGCGGGUGAAAAGCCCGCUCGCCGGAAGACCAAGGGUUCCUGUCCAACGUUAAUCGGGGCAGGGUGAGUCGACCCCUAAGGCGAGGCCGAAAGGCGUAGUCGAUGGGAAACGGGUUAAUAUUCCCGUACUUGGUGUUACUGCGAAGGGGGGACGGAGAAGGCUAUGUUGGCCGGGCGACGGUUGUCCCGGUUUAAGCGUGUAGGUGUGUGUUCCAGGUAAAUCCGGUUCACUUUAACACUGAGGCGUGAUGACGAGGCACUACGGUGCUGAAGCAACAAAUGCCCUGCUUCCAGGAAAAGCCUCUAAGCAUCAGGUAACAUCAAAUCGUACCCCAAACCGACACAGGUGGUCAGGUAGAGAAUACCAAGGCGCUUGAGAGAACUCGGGUGAAGGAACUAGGCAAAAUGGUGCCGUAACUUCGGGAGAAGGCACGCUGACACGUAGGUGAAGUGAUUUACUCAUGGAGCUGAAGUCAGUCGAAGAUACCAGCUGGCUGCAACUGUUUAUUAAAAACACAGCACUGUGCAAACACGAAAGUGGACGUAUACGGUGUGACGCCUGCCCGGUGCCGGAAGGUUAAUUGAUGGGGUCAGCGCAAGCGAAGCUCCUGAUCGAAGCCCCGGUAAACGGCGGCCGUAACUAUAACGGUCCUAAGGUAGCGAAAUUCCUUGUCGGGUAAGUUCCGACCUGCACGAAUGGCGUAAUGAUGGCCAGGCUGUCUCCACCCGAGACUCAGUGAAAUUGAACUCGCUGUGAAGAUGCAGUGUACCCGCGGCAAGACGGAAAGACCCCGUGAACCUUUACUAUAGCUUGACACUGAACAUUGAGCCUUGAUGUGUAGGAUAGGUGGGAGGCUUUGAAGUGUGGACGCCAGUCUGCAUGGAGCCGACCUUGAAAUACCACCCUUUAAUGUUUGAUGUUCUAACGUGGACCCGUUACCCGGGUUGCGGACAGUGUCUGGUGGGUAGUUUGACUGGGGCGGUCUCCUCCUAAAGAGUAACGGAGGAGCACGAAGGUUGGCUAAUCCUGGUCGGACAUCAGGAGGUUAGUGCAAUGGCAUAAGCCAGCUUGACUGCGAGCGUGACGGCGCGAGCAGGUGCGAAAGCAGGUCAUAGUGAUCCGGUGGUUCUGAAUGGAAGGGCCAUCGCUCAACGGAUAAAAGGUACUCCGGGGAUAACAGGCUGAUACCGCCCAAGAGUUCAUAUCGACGGCGGUGUUUGGCACCUCGAUGUCGGCUCAUCACAUCCUGGGGCUGAAGUAGGUCCCAAGGGUAUGGCUGUUCGCCAUUUAAAGUGGUACGCGAGCUGGGUUUAGAACGUCGUGAGACAGUUCGGUCCCUAUCUGCCGUGGGCGCUGGAGAACUGAGGGGGGCUGCUCCUAGUACGAGAGGACCGGAGUGGACGCAUCACUGGUGUUCGGGUUGUCAUGCCAAUGGCACUGCCCGGUAGCUAAAUGCGGAAGAGAUAAGUGCUGAAAGCAUCUAAGCACGAAACUUGCCCCGAGAUGAGUUCUCCCUGAGACUUUAGGUCUCCUGAAGGAACGUUGAAGACGACGACGUUGAUAGGCCGGGUGUGUAAGCGCAGCGAUGCGUUGAGCUAACCGGUACUAAUGAACCGUGAGGCUUAACCUUACAACGCCGAAG
Molecule: ribosomal RNA, 1707 nt
Filed under: Salmonella enterica subsp. enterica serovar Bovismorbificans
Lineage: Bacteria; Pseudomonadati; Pseudomonadota; Gammaproteobacteria; Enterobacterales; Enterobacteriaceae
Description: partial 23S ribosomal RNA
Rfam family: Bacterial large subunit ribosomal RNA
Source: RNAcentral